CCUUCAUUCAAUCUCAUCCCUAAUGUUGAACACCCAAAAAAAAACCUAACGAGACCUAGAACCCUAAUUCUUCAUCUUCGACCUUCAACCAUCUCCACCGAUCUUCUUCAACAUUACACACCCUAAGACCCUCGUCUUCAUCGACAGACCAAGCUUCUUCUUGAACCCCACUAAACACAAACACACGCACCCGCAUGGAGAGGAUGACUGGAAAACGGAAAGCAAAGAGAAGGGAACGACAAUGAUUGGAGGAGAAACGAAAAAAUAUUCCUAUAAGAAAUGUUCCGGGCUGAGUCGAUUUGCUCGGGUUGAUUUAUUUUCAUCUCUGUACUCGCCUGAAGAGAUUCCGGGCAGAAUCGAUUAAAGUUUUUUUUAUUCAAGUUCUGUUUCGAUAGAGAUGGAAUUAGCUUGCGCUCGCCGUUGUUCGUGGCCACUAGUGUCUUUUCUCAGCUGUUGUUACUCUUAAUUUCAAGGCCGGAUUCAUUUAUAUUGGGUACGAAAUUAAUCGAGGCUUCGCGCAAUCAGGUUCAAUAUCUUUUUUUUUAUAUCUGUUUGGUUGUCCAUUGGGAAAAUAUGAUAAGAGCUAUGUUAAUCCAUCUAUAAACAUAGGUCUGCGAGUAAUUUCAGUUGAGGUUGGAUUCGGAGUUAGCAUUUAUUCUCGAUUCGUGUUUGGAAAUUAUAUUUGAUAUGUCAUUUUGUUGUUUGGAAUCCUGUAUUCACUGUUCUGAUUUGCCUCGAGCACGUUCAGUUAACAAAAGCUAAUUUGAAUGUUCGUUUUCUAUGUCGUGAAUGCCUUUAGCUGUUUAUUUUGUUGAAGUAUCUCUUGGGAUUAAGUUUUCUCGAGUUGAAAUGGACGAUUUGUCCGGCUUUAGGAUUUCUUUGAAUAAGUCUGAACUAGCGAUGCAUAUUCUCAUGGCUUUCUGUUUGGUUCUCUGAUUUUCCAGUAUGCGUGAUUUCAAGUGCCAAGAUAUUUAGGCCACCUUCUGUUUGGUUUUCUGACUGGUUUUCUGUUUGGGUCUCUAUUUGGUCCUCGUCGACGCCUAAUCGCUCUGUUCUUUUCUUUGGGACAUGCAUAACAGUUUGUGUAGAAGAGUGUAGAGGGUUUAAACUAAGUUUGGGAUAUUUAUUUGUCUGAAAGGAUUCAAAUCCCUACUGUAUUUGAAACUAAUUAAGAAGCCUUUAAGAUAUCCUAAGAAUUGUUUGAUAAAAAGUUGUAUCUCACCUACUUAAGAAGUUGCUAGCACAUGGUAGGAUCAGUCUAGAGAUUAAUUUAAUAAAAAGGGGAUCAGCAAUGAAAAGGACACCCUAUUCAAUACUUUUAAGAGUUGAAAAGUAAGACAACAUGGGGGGAACAUUUCAAAAAAGCUGAAAUAAUACAAUUAUAAAGAAGAGAGGAGCUGGAAAGGGAGGGGGCUGGAAGUUUAAAAGGACAACAGAUAGACCUGAAAGAGCAGGACUAAAAUAAAUCUGAAAAAAAAACUCUGAAAACAACUGAAAAUUUGAGCACUAUUCCAUUGAGUUUGAAUUUGCUAAUUUGAAAUUUUUCUCUCCUUGAAUCAAUUUCUUAACUGUUUUGACUUAGAAAUAGUUUGAGUUUCAGUCAUCUAUCUUGGAUGUUGAGUUGUUGGUUUAACUGUGAAUCCGAAAUUGUUUCCUUGGUUGCAUUUCCCUGUUCUUGACUGAUCUGUGGCACUAUUUCCGUGGAUCUGAACUUAAUUCUGUUGUUGUUACCACUGAUACCUCACUUUUCUGCUUCCUUUUUUUACUUCCAGGUAUACGACCCUGUAACUCCUUUAGUUAUGAAGUGAAUUUGAGGAAUGAAAAAUGAAAAAUGAAGAAUUGGAGCACAUGAAAGUAUUCCAUUUUGUUCUUCUCUGAUCUGUCUGUUUUAUUUAAUGUGAUUAUUUUGUCCAAAUCAGUUUAGUUGAACAUGUUUUAGUUACUAGUAGAGAGGAUAUGGAGUUAGUAUGGUAAACCUUCAGUUCAUCUUGUUGGCUUCAUACAAGGUUGAAUGAUUUAUGAAUAGAGAUCCAAUAAUCUAGAUCCAUCCCUUACCCUUUUGAUUUUCGUAUGGUCAAAACUCUACUAUUCCUAUGCAAUUAGGUGUGUUUGUGUCCAACCUCCCUUUUGAAUUAAUGAUAUGAAGAUUUGAUCUGCU
RNAcentral lists this long non-coding RNA (2158 nucleotides) under Nicotiana tabacum (common tobacco). RNAcentral's name for it is "long non-coding RNA (NTAB_LNC019027)". Lineage: Eukaryota; Viridiplantae; Streptophyta; Magnoliopsida; Solanales; Solanaceae. The record is from RNAcentral.